Molecule: ribosomal RNA, 803 nt
Filed under: uncultured Bacillota bacterium
Lineage: Bacteria; Bacillati; Bacillota
Description: bacterial SSU rRNA
Rfam family: Bacterial small subunit ribosomal RNA
Source: RNAcentral
AAAGUCCCCUUCGGGGGACAAGUAGAGUGGCGCACGGGUGAGUAACACGUAGGUAAUCUACCUUCGGAUGGGGAAUAACAAUCGGAAACGAUUGCUAAUACCGCAUAAUGCAGCGGCACCUAAUGGUGACAGUUGUUAAAGCGGGGGAUCGAAAGACCUCGCGUCUGAAGAGGAGCCUGCGGCGGAUUAGCUAGUUGGUAAGGUAAUGGCUUACCAAGGCAACGAUCCGUAACCGGCCUGAGAGGGCGGUCGGUCACACUGACACUGACAUACGGGUCAGACUCCUACGGGAGGCAGCAGUCGGGAAUUUUGGGCAAUGGGCGAAAGCCUGACCCAGCAACGCCGCGUGAAGGAUGAAAUCCCUCGGGAUGUAAACUUCGCAAGAACGGGAAGAAUAAGUAGGGGACAAUACCCCCUAUGAUGACGGUACCGUUUGUAAGCUCCGGCUAACUCCGUGCCAGCAGCCGCGGUAAUACGGGGGGAGCAAGCGUUGUUCGGAUUUACUGGGCGUAAAGGGCGCGUAGGCGGCCAGCACAAGUCAGUUGUGAAAUCUCCGAGCUUAACUCGGAAAGGUCAACUGAUACUGUGCGGCUAGAGUGCGGAAGGGGCAACUGGAAUUCUUGGUGUAGCGGUGAAAUGCGUAGAUAUCAAGAGGAACACCUGCGGCGAAGGCGGGUUGCUGGGCCGACACUGACGCUGAGGCGCGAAAGCCAGGGGAGCGAACGGGAUUAGAUACCCCGGUAGUCCUGGCCUUAAACGAUGAAUGCUUGGUGUCUGGGGUUAUAUAGUCCCCGGGUGCCGUC